UAAACGACUCUCGGCAACGGAUAUCUCGGCGCUCGCAUCGAUGAAGAACGUAGCGAAAUGCGAUACUUGGUGUGAAUUGCAGAAUCCCGUGAACCAUCGAGUCUUUGAACGCAAGUUGCGCCCGAAGCCAUUAGGCCGAGGGCACGCCUGCCUGGGCGUCACAC
Molecule: ribosomal RNA, 164 nt
Filed under: Rubus crataegifolius
Lineage: Eukaryota; Viridiplantae; Streptophyta; Magnoliopsida; Rosales; Rosaceae
Description: 5.8S ribosomal RNA
Rfam family: 5.8S ribosomal RNA
About the family: 5.8S ribosomal RNA (5.8S rRNA) is a component of the large subunit of the eukaryotic ribosome. It is transcribed by RNA polymerase I as part of the 45S precursor that also contains 18S and 28S rRNA.
Source: RNAcentral